UACAGAGGGUGCGAGCGUUAAUCGGAAUUACUGGGCGUAAAGCGCACGUAGGCGGCUUGGUAUGUCGGGUGUGAAAUCCCCGGGCUCAACCUGGGAACUGCACCCGAAACUGCCUUGCUCGAGUAUGGGAGAGGGAAGUGGAAUUUCCGGUGUAGCGGUGAAAUGCGUAGAUAUCGGGAGGAACACCGGUGGCGAAGGCGGCGACCUGGGUUGAUAUUGACGCUGAGGCGCGAAAGCGUGGGGAGCAAACAGG
Molecule: ribosomal RNA, 253 nt
Filed under: uncultured bacterium
Lineage: Bacteria
Description: partial 16S ribosomal RNA
Rfam family: Bacterial small subunit ribosomal RNA
Source: RNAcentral